Molecule: unclassified non-coding RNA, 1880 nt
Filed under: Hevea brasiliensis (rubber tree)
Lineage: Eukaryota; Viridiplantae; Streptophyta; Magnoliopsida; Malpighiales; Euphorbiaceae
Source: RNAcentral
GAAACUCCUUUCCAUUUCCAACUCUUCCUUCUAUAGUUUAUCUUCUAGUUCAUAAAGGUCCGUGUGAUCUGACAACUCUAUGUUCUUAUCUUUCAUUCUUUCUAAUAUAUAGCACCUCCCUCUUUUUUCUUCACUUCUCUCUCUCUCUCUUUCUCACUCUCUUUCUCUAUGUGAAGAUGAAUUCCCAUUCAAAUCUGUUAUUUCUCUUAAUCUCACUGAUUUUUUCAGAUAAUAUCAUUUUAUUAUCUUCUACUUCUUCUUCUGAAAGUGAGUUUUCGUCUUCCUUUUUCGAUGUAACUUCCUUGAAUCCCAAGUCUCUGAAUUCGCAAAAGAAUCAGUCAGCGUCCAGGCCUCGAAAGCCUUCUACUGGCUGUGAGGUUUGGACUAAGGCCUGCUCCGAGGCAGUUUUGGGCUUGGCCCAGACGCCGGAGACCGUCAGUUGGUUGAAGAGCGUGAGGAGGAAGAUUCAUGAGAACCCUGAGCUCGCUUUCGAGGAAGUUAAGACGAGUGAGUUAGUUAGAAAUGAACUGGAUAAGAUGGAGAUUGGAUAUAAGUAUCCUUUGGCUAAAACGGGUAUUCGGGCUUGGAUCGGUACCGGUGGGCCUCCUUUUGUGGCCAUCAGAGCUGACAUGGAUGCUCUCCCUAUUCAGGAAGCUGUAGAAUGGGAGCAUAAAAGCAAAGUUGCAGGCAAAAUGCAUGCUUGUGGGCAUGAUGCCCAUGUUGCAAUGCUGAUUGGAGCUGCCAAGAUCUUGAAGAGUCGAGAACAUCUUUUGAAGGGAACUGUAAUACUGCUGUUCCAGCCAGCAGAGGAAGCUGGGAAUGGGGCGAAACGGAUGAUAGGAGAUGGUGCUCUAGAGGAUGUGGAAGCUAUAUUUGCAGUUCAUGUCUCCCAUGAACAUCCUACUGCCAUCAUUGGUUCUAGGCCUGGUCCUCUGUUAGCAGGCUGCGGCUUCUUCAGAGCGGAAAUUAGUGGCAAAAAGGGCGGUGCUGGGAACCCACACCACUCUGUUGACCCAAUUUUGGCAGCCUCCGCUGCGGUGAUAAGCUUACAGAGCAUUGUAUCUCGUGAAGCAAAUCCGCUGGACUCCCAAGUGUGUAUAUACUAAAUUAUCUUUCAAUACAGUAUUUUCCUACCAUUUCUGAGUGUUUCAGAUAAUUUGCUAAUUGUGAGAUAUUCCCACUUCACUGUACAGGUCGUGUCCGUUACCACCAUGGAUGGUGGCAACAAUCUUGACAUGAUUCCAGAAACUGUUGUACUUGGCGGUACCUUCAGGGCUUUCUCCAACGCAAGUUUUUAUCAGCUUCUUCGAAGAAUAAAAGAGGUUUUUUUUAUAUUCAAGACCACUGGCCAGUUGAAAAUAGCAAGUUAAAAGAAAAGACCUGCUAAUUCUAUUUGAGCUAACACUAUCUGCAUAUAUCUCAAAAACAGGUGAUUGUAGAACAGGCAAGUGUUUUCAGAUGCUCAGCAACAGUAGACUUCUUUGAGCAGCAACACACAAUCUAUCCUCCAACAGUGAAUAGCGAUCACACGUAUGAACAUGUGAGAAAAGUGGCCAUUGAUUUGUUAGGUCCAACUAAUUUCAGAGUGGUACCACCAAUGAUGGGUGCGGAGGACUUCUCAUUUUACUCAGAGGUGGUUCCUGCAGCUUUCUAUUACAUAGGGAUAAGGAACGAGACCUUGGGGUCAACACACACGGGCCACUCACCCUAUUUUAUGAUAGAUGAGGAUGCCCUCCCGAUUGGUGCUGCAACUCAUGCAGCUAUUGCAGAAAGAUACCUCAUCGAGCAUGGCUAAUGGUAAGAAGUGGAAUGUAGCAGCUAGAGGAUUUAGUAGAUUGUCAGAGAGCAAGAGAAUCGCAGUGUCAUUCCUGCUCCUGCUC